CCUACGGGUGGCUGCAGUAGGGAAUAUUGCGCAAUGGAGGAAACUCUGACGCAGCGACGCCGCGUGGGUGAUGAAGGCUUUCGGGUCGUAAAGCCCUGUCACAAGGGACGAAAAACAAGAUUGAUAAUACCUUUCUUGCUUGACAGUACCUUGGAAGGAAGCACCGGCUAACUACGUGCCAGCAGCCGCGGUAAUACGUAGGGUGCAAGCGUUGUUCGGAAUCAUUGGGCGUAAAGCGCGUGUAGGUGGUUAGUUAAGUCGGGUGUGAAAGCCCU
RNAcentral lists this ribosomal RNA (275 nucleotides) under uncultured bacterium. RNAcentral's name for it is "partial 16S ribosomal RNA". It matches the Rfam family "Bacterial small subunit ribosomal RNA", at positions 338 to 604 of the family's 1533-position model. The record is from RNAcentral.